AUGAAUCAAACAGAGGAAGAAGAGUUAAAUCAAAGGGGGCUCAAAGCUUCUGCCGACAACACCGACAAACAACCACCCUAUCUAAUGCAAUCACAACCUCCGCUCAGACCAUCGAGCCAUCACCUUGUUCUUGUCUCCCACACACCAUCACUGGACAUGCGAGACUCCAGCAUCAACGCCUCCACACGAUGUUGUCGGCACGCAACAAGUCGACGACACCUCCGCACAACAGUGAACCACCCUCCAUGUCGUACACCACUACCAUCGUCGUCGCCAUCAAGAUCCAGUCGCCUCCCCUGCAACCACAACUUCGAGCAUAUCGGAAUCUCUGCCACCGUUCCAGAUUACGGUCGCCACUGUUACAAGAUGACGAAGCCACACGAUGCCACCGUCGCCGAUAUUCCAUUCUUAUAG
Molecule: non-coding RNA, 414 nt
Organism: Vicia faba (fava bean)
Lineage: Eukaryota; Viridiplantae; Streptophyta; Magnoliopsida; Fabales; Fabaceae
Source: the annotation of a GenBank genome assembly